CACUUACUUGUGGGCAGAUGGAGAGUAAAUGUGACGGGGAAAAAACAAUAUUGACCUAAAAAGAAAAAAUCUACAUAGAGGGUCAUCUGUAGAGAUGCAAGAGAACACACCUUACCUUCUCCCUGUCCAUGCCUCCUGUGGAUCCCACAGAGCAUCCAUCACUGGCUUCCCUUUCCUCCGUCACUGUUAAAUCACCCAACUCAGAUGGCCACCCCAUGUUCAACCACAGGCUAUGCUUGCCAGACCAGUCACAGUUGGACAGAAUAGCCAUGGUAUCCAACUUAGUUUCCCAUGACUUCUGAGGAUUGAAACUUCGGUGAUCAUUCUGGAAGGAUCAUUUUCCUGAUAUUUGCAGGCCUCACAUUGCCUCUGCAAGUUACCUUGGUCAAGGAAUUAUGGAACCUUGACACGACAAUUGGUUUUAAACAUAUAGCCUGCAUAGCUUGCAAACAUCAUUGUAUAUUGGCAACUAUGUCUGUUUUGAUCCUGAUAAUUCCUAUUAAAUUUUGUUUUUCAUAAAA
Mus musculus (house mouse) is the source of this 521-nucleotide long non-coding RNA. RefSeq annotates it as predicted gene, 34869. NCBI's taxonomy places the organism in Eukaryota, Metazoa, Chordata, Mammalia, Rodentia, Muridae. The record is from RefSeq and is a predicted model, not a curated record. The transcript is spliced from 5 exons.